GACGGAGGGAGCUAGCGUUGUUCGGAAUUACUGGGCGUAAAGGGCGUGUAGGUGGCUAUUUAAGUCAGGUGUGAAAUGCCGGAGCUUAACUUCGGAACUGCCUUUGAUACUGGAUGGCUAGAGGUAGAGAGGGGAGAGUGGAAUUGCUAGUGUAGAGGUGAAAUUCGUAGAUAUAAGCAGGAACACCAGUGGCGAAGGCGACUCUCUGGACAUAUACUGACACUCAGAAGCGAAAGCGUGGGGAGCAAACAGG
Molecule: ribosomal RNA, 253 nt
Filed under: uncultured bacterium
Lineage: Bacteria
Description: partial 16S ribosomal RNA
Rfam family: Bacterial small subunit ribosomal RNA
Source: RNAcentral